Molecule: small RNA, 505 nt
Filed under: Oryza sativa Japonica Group (Japanese rice)
Lineage: Eukaryota; Viridiplantae; Streptophyta; Magnoliopsida; Poales; Poaceae
Description: sRNA Os10g0484750
Source: RNAcentral
CCAUGACCUUGGAAGCUCAACAAAUACAAAGAUCGAGCCUUGUGGCUUGAAGCUAAUGCGGAAGCCAAAAUCAGUAAGCACCUGAAGGAUGAAGUCUCUUCUCGCCUCUGGUGGGCUUGUUAACGCAACCAACGCAGCUUCUUGGAAUGGUGCAGGGGCUGAAUCAGUUAGCUUGACAUGGAUGUUUCUUAUUGCUGAGGCGAUAUUAGCUGGAGCACAAGCCCAUCCAAUUCUCCAACCUAGCCAGUUUAGACAACAGAAUCUUCAUAUGUCCCAAACGUCUCACAAGUAGUUGAUUGCAUUGCAGUGUGCAAACUUGAGUUCUGCUCACCAGUUACGCUGUAAGUUUUUGACAGUGAGGAAGUAAUGAUGGUCCUUUCUUGCAUUCCUGGAAGCGAAGCCAAUGAGAUAUGCUUGUUCUCAUCGUAAGUAAUGUACUCAUAAACCUGGAAGAUAUUCAGAUAUAUUUAGAAGAUAGAGAGAGAGAGACUGAUGAAAAUUUCUU